ACAGGUGCUGCAUGGCUGUCGUCAGCUCGUGUUGUGAAAUGUUGGGUUAAGUCCCGUAACGAGCGCAACCCUUGUCCUUAGUUGCCAUCAUUUAGUUGGGGACUCUAAGGAGACUGCCGGUGACAAACCGGAGGAAGGCGGGGACGACGUCAAGUCAUCAUGGCCCUUACGAGUAGGGCUACACACGUGCUACAAUGGCAAGUACAGAGGGCCGCAAAGCCGCGAGGUGGAGCUAAUCUCACAAAGCUUGUCGUAGUCCGGAUUGGAGUCUGCAACUCGACUCCAUGAAGUCGGAAUCGCUAGUAAUCGUGAAUCAGAAUGUCACGGUGAAUACGUUCCCGGGCCUUGUACACACCGCCCGUCACACCAUGGGAGUGGGUUGCU
RNAcentral lists this ribosomal RNA (384 nucleotides) under uncultured Gammaproteobacteria bacterium. RNAcentral's name for it is "bacterial SSU rRNA". It matches the Rfam family "Bacterial small subunit ribosomal RNA", at positions 1034 to 1419 of the family's 1533-position model. Lineage: Bacteria; Pseudomonadati; Pseudomonadota; Gammaproteobacteria. The record is from RNAcentral.